UUAACACAUGCAAGUCGAGGGGCAGCAUGAUUUGUAGCAAUACAGAUUGAUGGCGACCGGCGCACGGGUGAGUAACGCGUAUGCAACUUACCUAUCAGAGGGGGAUAGCCCGGCGAAAGUCGGAUUAAUACCCCAUAAAACAGGGGUCCCGCAUGGGAAUAUUUGUUAAAGAUUCAUCGCUGAUAGAUAGGCAUGCGUUCCAUUAGGCAGUUGGCGGGGUAACGGCCCACCAAACCGACGAUGGAUAGGGGUUCUGAGAGGAAGGUCCCCCACAUUGGUACUGAGACACGGACCAAACUCCUACGGGAGGCAGCAGUGAGGAAUAUUGGUCAAUGGCCGAGAGGCUGAACCAGCCAAGUCGCGUGAAGGAAGAAGGAUCUAUGGUUUGUAAACUUCUUUUAUAGGGGAAUAAAGUGGAGGACGUGUCCUUUUUUGUAUGUACCCUAUGAAUAAGCAUCGGCUAACUCCGUGCCAGCAGCCGCGGUAAUACGGAGGAUGCGAGCGUUAUCCGGAUUUAUUGGGUUUAAAGGGUGCGUAGGUGGUGAUUUAAGUCAGCGGUGAAAGUUUGUGGCUCAACCAUAAAAUUGCCGUUGAAACUGGGUUACUUGAGUGUGUUUGAGGUAGGCGGAAUGCGUGGUGUAGCGGUGAAAUGCAUAGAUAUCACGCAGAACUCCGAUUGCGAAGGCAGCUUACUAAACCAUAACUGACACUGAAGCACGAAAGC
This 724-nucleotide ribosomal RNA is filed under the name uncultured Bacteroidales bacterium. RNAcentral's name for it is "bacterial SSU rRNA". It matches the Rfam family "Bacterial small subunit ribosomal RNA", at positions 48 to 760 of the family's 1533-position model. The record is from RNAcentral. Lineage: Bacteria; Pseudomonadati; Bacteroidota; Bacteroidia; Bacteroidales.